This 433-nucleotide ribosomal RNA is filed under the name uncultured bacterium. RNAcentral describes it as "partial 16S ribosomal RNA". It matches the Rfam family "Bacterial small subunit ribosomal RNA", at positions 29 to 507 of the family's 1533-position model. The record is from RNAcentral.
AACGAACGCUGGCGGCAGGCUUAACACAUGCAAGUCGAGCGCAUCCUUUGGGGUGAGCGGCGGACGGGUGAGUAACGCGUGGGAACGUGCCCUCUUCUACGGAAUAGCCUCGGGAAACUGAGAGUAAUGCCGUAUACGCCCGCAAGGGGAAAGAUUUAUCGGAGGAGGAUCGGCCCGCGUUGGAUUAGGUAGUUGGUGGGGUAACGGCCUACCAAGCCGACGAUCCAUAGCUGGUUUGAGAGGAUGAUCAGCCACACUGGGACUGAGACACGGCCCAGACUCCUACGGGAGGCAGCAGUGGGGAAUCUUGGACAAUGGGGGCAACCCUGAUCCAGCCAUGCCGCGUGAUCGAUGAAGGCCUUAGGGUUGUAAAGAUCUUUCAGCUGGGAAGAUAAUGACGGUACCAGCAGAAGAAGCCCCGGCUAACUCCGUG